This 321-nucleotide ribosomal RNA is filed under the name uncultured eukaryote. Its description in RNAcentral is "partial 18S ribosomal RNA". It matches the Rfam family "Eukaryotic small subunit ribosomal RNA", at positions 1470 to 1796 of the family's 1831-position model. The record is from RNAcentral.
CCCUUAGAUGUUCUGGGCCGCACGCGUGCUACACUGAGUGGAUCAGCGGGUCAGGUUGCGCGAAAGUGUUUCCUAAUCUUUAAAUCCGCUCGUGAUGGGGAUUGACGGUUGCAAUUUUCCGUCAUGAACGAGGAAUACCUUGUAAGCGCGGGUCAUCAUCCCGCGCUGAAUACGUCCCUGCCCUUUGUACACACCGCCCGUCGCACCUACCGAUUGAAUGGUUCGGUGAAGAUCUCGGACUUCGAUAUUUAUUCUUUAUUGAGUUUAUAUUGUGGGAAGUUAUCUAAACCUCAUCAUUUAGAGGAAGGUGAAGUCGUAACA